This 485-nucleotide unclassified non-coding RNA is filed under the name Hevea brasiliensis (rubber tree). Lineage: Eukaryota; Viridiplantae; Streptophyta; Magnoliopsida; Malpighiales; Euphorbiaceae. The record is from RNAcentral.
CAGUAAUCCAGAAAAGACCCCUAUCCACACUUUCUUUUGCAACUAUGACUUAAGUGAGAUGCCAGCUGGUACCAAGACAUUUUUGCGCCAAAAGAUCACCUUAUCCUCGUCUGGACUGAAUGGGAGGAACAGAGAUUAUGACAUGAAAAGUGAAGUUGAGCAAUCUUCAAUCCCACACAGUAGUCAUUCUUCAAAGUGUGGGAGGGAGACUUCAGACUCAAAGGGACUUGAUGCUGAACAUACAAUAAGAUCUCCCAACCACAGUAGUAAUUGUAUAAAUACUGGUGCGGAGACCAACAGCCCUCCAAAUUCAACCAGUGUAUUUGUAAGCAAAUCUGUACAUAGCCCUUCUAAGGCCAAUGAAAACACCGCUGGAGCUGGUGUUCUGCGUUAUGCUCUUCAUCUCCGGUUUUUAUGCCCUUUUCCCAAGAAAAGUCCAAGGUCAGUCCGAAGGUGCAAAUCUGACCCUUUAUCUGCACCCACAG